UUUUACUCGUCCAUAAUUGGCGGAAUUCCACGUUGACGUUCUCUCAUUCUCUCCCACUAUAAUUCUCAGAAGCUAGCUUUCUACAUCAAAACCUCCUUAUUCAGUAUUCACAGAUACUGUAUUUUUGCGAAAAGGCUUACUAUGAUGAUGAGAAGUUUCUUUCCUUUGAACGAUUGAUGAUUUCAGUUACUUGGUAACUUAGAGUGAGCUCUAGCUCUUCUAUACGAAGAUCUGUGAAGCCCUAAUGUCUUAAAAGAGACAAGGGCCAUUUGGUGGGAGGUUAUGAUGGAUAAUAUGGCAGUGCCUUCAGUUCUAUGUGAUAUUGUGCCUAUUUUAAAUUUUGCUGAUGAAGUUGAACCUUAUCACCCAUGGGCUGCAUACCUUUGAAACAAAUGAUAGAGUUGUAUGGAUUGUACAAAGAUGAUGUGACAUCCACUGAACGAGUUCAAUGCAUUGUGGAUGUAUUUAGCUUCAAAUGGAUGCAAUAGUUUUUAUUAUAUGCAUACGAGGUCGAAUGCAUGCCCUUGAUAAAGCUCAUAGACAAGAUCCACUAUCAAGUGGUCGUGGUGUUCAUCAAUUCAAGACUGCUCUAAUUCAUCGCCUACGUAGGGCACAUUUUCUCUCCAUUUUCUUGUAAUUCAGCAUUUGAUUUUUAGAUGAAGUAAUAUUAUGGAGGUGGAACAUUCUAUUCAGUAUUGUUUUUAUCCGUUUGUUUGUAACACAUUUAUUUAAAACAAAGAAGGAAAGAAGUUCGUUAGUGGAAAGUUGAAAA
Molecule: non-coding RNA, 772 nt
Organism: Lactuca sativa (garden lettuce)
Lineage: Eukaryota; Viridiplantae; Streptophyta; Magnoliopsida; Asterales; Asteraceae
Source: RefSeq, a predicted model, not a curated record